This 440-nucleotide ribosomal RNA is filed under the name uncultured bacterium. Its description in RNAcentral is "partial 16S ribosomal RNA". It matches the Rfam family "Bacterial small subunit ribosomal RNA", at positions 338 to 795 of the family's 1533-position model. The record is from RNAcentral.
CCUACGGGAGGCAGCAGUGGGGGAUAUUGCACAAUGGGGGGAACCCUGAUGCAGCGACGCCGCGUGGGUGAAGAAGCGCCUCGGCGCGUAAAGCCCUGUCAGCAGGGAGGAAAAUGACGGUACCUGAAGAAGAAGCCCCGGCUAACUACGUGCCAGCAGCCGCGGUAAUACGUAGGGGGCAAGCGUUAUCCGGAUUUACUGGGUGUAAAGGGGGCGCAGACGGCGAUGCAAGCCAGGAGUGAAAGCCCGGGGCCCAACCCCGGGACUGCUCUUGGAACUGCGUGGCUGGAGUGGAGGAGGGGGAGGCGGAAUGCGUGGUGUAGCGGUGAAAUGCGUAGAUAUCAGGAGGAACACCGGUGGCGAAGGCGGCCUGCUGGACUACAACUGACGUUGAGGCCCGAAAGCGUGGGGAGCAAACAGGAUUAGAUACCCUUGUAGUC